Long non-coding RNA from Xiphophorus couchianus (Monterrey platyfish), 12228 nucleotides. RefSeq lists it as uncharacterized. The record is from RefSeq and is a predicted model, not a curated record. The transcript is spliced from 2 exons. NCBI's taxonomy places the organism in Eukaryota, Metazoa, Chordata, Actinopteri, Cyprinodontiformes, Poeciliidae.
GGUCAUUUCUGAGUGUUUUGUCAUUUGGAUUUUUCCAUAUGGAAAUAAUGAAUUAUCUUUUCUAGGUCGUGUUUUAUUAGUUCAUUCUUUUGUGUGAACGCUCUUCAGGAAGCGGCCCAUUCCGCCACAGUGAUUCCUGUAGGGACUGGGUCUUGGGGGACUUCACAGAGCGCAGAAUGAUCGCCUCCUCACUGCCGUAUCCUGACUUUAGGUGAUCGGUCAAUACUUGCAUGUGAAACUAAUCUUAUCCACCAGUGUUUACUACCACUACCACCACAAAGUUGCGUUCAACAAUAUUCUUCCUAUUGUUCCAAACUUUGCAACCUUUUUGCUACAUUUAGUACAGAAACAAAUCGAUGUAGGCCAGAAGCACUCAGGAUUUGUAAAUAUCGGCCAGAAAACUGUAGUGCACUUCUACUUUUUUAAUAACAGCAAUCUGUCUAAAUAACAACUGAGUAAUGACUAUUAAUAAAAACAAAAUACAUUCAACAGCUGUUGAAGAAGUACUUAAAUAUGUCUUGAGGAUUAAACACUUAGGCUAAUUCUACGUUGUACCUUUGCCAUAUGAACCAGGAAUAGGAAAGUUAUUUCUGCUAAUUAAAGAAGACCAAGUAUUGCUUUCUAAACAAAAUUUGACGGAUUUGAAAAAAUUGAUAUUCUUGUUUUUGCAAGUCUUUUUCUGUCUACUGGUAGGAGUGUGUUCAUUCGCAUGCGAGCCCACAGCACUCAACGUGUGUGAGUGCCGGUGACAGAAUAGAAACGCACGCCUUCGUCCAGCUUUUGUAAACUUUGGCGUUGGUAUUUUUGAAGGUUUGAAGCUGAGAAGCAGUGUGGCUUGAAGCGCCUUCAAUGCGUCAACUGUGAGCCAAGCUUGAGAGAGAACUGAAAGUAAAGCAGCGACCUCAUACAGCAGUAGGUCAUGAUAGGAGUCACUUACUCUCCUCAUCACCUUAUCAGCCCAGGUCCAUUUUUUCAGCAUUCAGUCUCCCAAUAUUUACAAACCUCUUCUUCUCUCACCACUCCCUGGUUCCUCCCAUAAAAUCCUGUUUCUUUCCCGUUUAUACCUUGCCGACUUUCGUUUUUUAUCCCUUUGUUUUUUGCUCUGCUUUGGCUCCUUCUGUUCUCCAUGGUUUUUGUUGAAAGUGUUUGGUCUUUGUUUUUUUCUUUUUUGACUAAAUCUACAAAAUCUACUCAGUGCCUCUGCCCCCUGCAUUUGGGUCCUCCUUCAUGACAUUAUUUUAUCGUAAACCAGUUUUUGAUGAAAGAAGACGGCAAUGGACAGCAGCCAUCAAUCGUAGGAUUGGCAGCCCUCAUUUUGGCAGCCCCCCAGCAUAGAUUUACAGCAAACAUUUUUUACAAGGUAAAAAUAUGAGCAUUCAUGCACGUCACAAGUAAGUAAUAUUACUAAAAUGCAAUUAAGUAUUCCACUAUGGAGAAGGUCUUUGUGUAUUAGUAACCACUGAGAGGAUGUCCCUCCAUCAUGUAGCCUAGCAUGUAGAAAAAAACUGGUAACCAUCCAGACUUUUCUACUGUUUUAUGUUUGCUCCAAUGUAAGGGGAAACGCUUUUUACAAUAUAGUGGAAUAAAUCAUGUGUCAUGGCAGGCUUUUACUAUUACUAACCAAAACAGAAAUGGAGAACUUGGGUGUACUCACCAGUUCAGAGCUGGCAUUUGAAGUGGUAACUGGAAAGGUGCUGCUUCUGUUGUUUCUGAUGUUAAAAUGAGCAUUCUUGUUUUGGCAGCUCUCCAACCUUCUGUCAGCCUCUCAGCAUGCAAUGAGCAGACUCAGUGCUGUAUUUGUCCUCCUCAAACGUCGCUGUGGCAGUGAAAGUUGAUCUUGACCUCUUUCCAGGCACCAGCUUUGGGCACAGGCCCAGGUUCUGGCAGAGAGCCGCUCUGCUGUUUGCAAGGCUAAUGUUCUUGGUCUCAAUCCCCUCGUAACUUUGAGAAGUCGAGAAGUUUGAUGGCUCAGUUCCAUUUCUGAAAAAGUGUUUAAAAAGAAUGAUGUCAGCCUCUUGUCAGAUUAAUAUUUCUGUUUUUAUCUCUUUUUCUGUGCUCCACUCAUACAUUCUGUUGGCACAGGAUGAAGGUUAGCCAUCGACCAAUGACAAUAUAGAAAUUACUGUGGGCACUUUUUGCAAAGAAUGCCAGCACUUAUCAUGACAUAAUCUCUGUCCACUUGAAAAUUGAUAAAAUGAAUACUUUCUAAAGUUCUUCAUUUAUAAAAACAAAUUGCUAUUCAGAGUCCUUUAAACACUGGGAAAGUAAGAAUUUAUGUUUCCUGCAUGUGUUUCCUUGACGACUAGUCCAUGGUGUACUAUGUACUAGUUAUUAUCAUCAAUCAUUGAUGAUUUGCGAUGAUAGCAUUUGACAUGAUGUCAUGUUUAUUCCAUAUUUCAUAAGUGGUCAAUGUUUUUGUCACGUAGAGCACUUUGAACUGUCUUGUUGCCGAAAUGUAUUAUGCAAAAUAAACCUGACUUAUUGUACCUUCAACUACUGUUGGUAAAGUUUGCAGGUUUUCAUCUAAAAGUCAAUCAGACGUUGGAAACAUUACGUCAGCUACUUGUGAUUCACUAGUGCAACAAUAAGGAAGGCAGAGAAGUCGAUCAAGACCAAGAAACUGGAAGCUGAUUGGAGCCUCUCAGUCAUUAAAUCUAGCAGCUGACUGACCGGCACUGAUUUCUAAGAUGGCAGAAACAACACCUUGUUCCUGGACGGAGAAGUGUGGAUUAAAGAGCUUCAAGUAUGUGUGGUUAAUUAACCAUCUUUAAAGCAACCAUUGUUAUAAUUAUGUUGAAUUUUUUUAAGUACAGAUAAAAAAUAAUAGCUGUGGUUUAUUUUGGACUUCAACAAGUUUGAAGUUUGAAAAUCUGGUUCAAUCAACUAGUGACCUCUGUAUGUUUCAGUCUGUGAUGCUGGAGUUGUGUUUUUUUUCUUUAUCUUUGUGGAAGCACUCUAGGAGUACAGACCCAUUGAAUAAAUGACAAUAUUAUUGAAAAACCCUUCAAUUUUAGGAUUUUUAUCACUAAGUGAAGCAUUAAAUAGAUUAAUUACACAGAUGGAUGUAUGAAAAAGAACCUUUUGAAAAAGGUUAUUUUCCAAAAGUACUUUUAAUCUUACAUAUGACUCUCUUUGGCACUCAUUCUAAAUUCCUAAAUAUUACAUUUGUAAUACACCACAGAAUGGAGAACUGGUAACUAUGGCUAAUGCUAAUGCUUGCCACAGACAUAUAUGUACUUUUAUAUGUGUAUUUAUGUUUUUAUCUGUCACAUUGAAGGGUUUUACUUAUGUUCAGUAUGGCUGCAGAAAAAGCAUAGCGCUAUAGCGAUAGCAUGGCUAGACUACAUGGUUCUGUAUAGGCUGCAGGGUUCUGGAUAAUCUGAUCACAAAAUCUACACAGACGCUGGCCAGAUUUUAUUUUUAAUUAUCAACUAAAAGUCAGACUGUGAUCUGCAAAACAACUGCAAAUCAAUCCUCCAAUGAUUCAUCAGGAUGGACAAUGAAACAGACUGAUGACUGGUCCAAAUGAAGCAGCAUUAGCCCUCAAUGUGUGCAUCAUGACUUCAAGUGUCUUGUAGCAAAGUCGGAACAGGUUCAGUCCUGGAUAAAACACACAGUUAGGUUCACUACUAUGUUUCUGCACUUUUUGGAGUGGUUUUGUGUACAGCACAGGCUUAGGUUCUGAAGACAAUCAAUAUCCUAUUCAGUUCCAGCAUAGAGAUGGAAACCAGCUGUCCUCUGCAGGCCUGCGUGGAUAAGCAGGAAUAGACAACAGACGGAUGGAUGGACUGUUUGAUCCUCGUGGCUCCUGGAUCAUUAGUCAUAUUCUGGGUCAAACAUGUAAGUUUGAAUCCCUGCAUCAGGUAACCUUUGAAAUGCAGCCUUUAGGUAAAUUCUGCAAAUGAAAUGUAGGCUAUUCUUUUUCUGUGCUCAACAAUACAUCAUGAGAAUAGCAGGUGUUCUGUUGAUGUAAAAGACCUACUGAAAAAUAUGCAAUAAUAACAAGAACAAAUUGUGAACACUGUGUGAUAUUUCAAUAUGCUGCAGCCCCCAAGCAGAAGCCAAGUAUUUGUGUUAGAGAGAGAGAGAGUAUUGUUAUGUUGCUUUGGGUUUUGAGUUUGUCAUUGGUGAGAUUUGCUGCCUGGAUACAGCUGAACCAAUGACAGACUUCCUGAGUUUCCUUGGCAACACUAUCAACUUUUACUGUGAAUGAGGUAUGAUGUUACAAAGAUAGAAAACAUGCUAAGUACAAACACUGAACAUCCAGUUCCUUCCUUUGUGUCUCUGUUGUUGUUUGGCCUGGAAGAUGUUUGAAAGAAGAGCAGCGAGAGAUGGAGCAUGUUCCUGAAACCUCAGCAAUUCAACAUGAAUCACCCGCUUUUAAAAAUGCUUGACCUUAAAAUGACUGUUUGAAUGUUUAAAGCUGGCCUGUUGGCACAGUGUGAGAACUUUGUGACAUGCUUUAGCGUUGCCUAAUCCCACUGCGGUCUCUUAUUGAGCACCCUGCAUGGUAGACGGGAAGGAAGCAGGAAGCAGCUGUCAGCAGAACAGAGACUUAUCACAACUGGUCACAUCUGUUGAGUAAAAACGGCAAUAAAAUCAACAAUUUAUGUGCUGCCUUAGAUAGACACUGACGAAAAAGCGAGCACACACAAUCUAAAUAGACACAGCAGAGUGUCUGGAUCAAAAGGUCUAAUCGGGAAGUUUCAUUUUGCCCAUUAGCCAAACCAUUUCCACUAAUCUGGUCCAGACUGGAGCUGUAUCACUUAAAACGAGUGAACUUAGAUCAAAUCCAGUACAAAUCCAGUACUUAAAGCAAUUUCAAUUUCAAAUUAUGCCAGUAUGAAAUGGGACUUCUGACUACAGUAUUAUUUAUGAUCUCUGUGUGAGGACAAACAGAACAUGUUUUUUGAAAGAGAAGGUGGCUGUAAGGAUGAUAUAACUUAAGGGGUUACUCAAUUUGUAGUGUAGGCACAACAAGAAAGAGCUUUUGUAUUUCAAUUAUGGAACAAGUUAAACGAGGAGUUAAACCAAAGUCCAAAUUCAAUGACAAUAAAUGCUAUCUACAUUUUCACAAGAUAUAGAGAUAUGGGUGAGAGAUAGCACUAAUGUGUAUAUGUAAAUUGAGGCUAACGCAUAUGAAUGUGUGUGGAUAUGGAUGUAUAUAUUUAAACAUAUGUAAACCCAGAUAAAAUGGAAAAUUAAUUAACCUAUGUGUUUUUCUAUUUUUUUAAUAUCUGAUUGAAUAAUGCAGGUCCAUCUGAAUGAGUUUGUGUUGUAGGAGUUCAUAAGUUUCUUACUUCUUCCUACUCCUGUUAAGAUUAUUGUGGUACAAAAAAACAGUUUAUUGUAUUCCUUGAUCCUGUGCGUAAUUUUAUACUUUCUGGAGGGGAAGCCAUGGCUGCCAAAUAAAGAUUUACCUUUGAUUCUGCUUUUUCGUCUUUUAACCCACUGAUUAUUUAACAAGAACUCAGUUUGUAUUUACUCAGUUCCUCACCUUCACAUGCAUCUGUCAAGUAAGAGCCCCAGCCAGGCCUCAUGCUCACUUCAUCACUGCUACACACUCCAUUGGAGGAUAGUGGAGAAAAAGAGCUUCAGGCUUCCCCAGCUGAUCAUGCUUUAUGUUCAGAAAGUAAAGCCAACAGUUAGAGAUGUAUGGAAGACGUCAGUCUAUGGGCCAAGUUAAUGCUCUCAUUGAUUUGUUUCAGUUUCUGCUGUAGUAAAUACUGUAGAUCAUAUUCAUUAGAAGUUCUAACGACUUAACAUAAAUUUAACAUAUUUAACAUAUUUAAACAAUUUUACACUGUUUAUUUUUUUUACUGAAAACUUGUUGUGCUGUUUACUUCUAGCUUAUCUGAGCUUCUGUGCGGAUUUUGUUCUUAAUGGAUGCUGGCAACCUUGAGUUAGACAAUAACAUUCUCAUCUUGGCUUUAUUUUGAAAUAUUAUUCUGGGAUGUAAACAAAAGAUUGAAUGAGUAAUUCUUUAUCAACCUUCAUAUGAUCAUGUACCACAAACACUGUGUUUGAGGAGGUGAUCCACCACAUUAAGUUAAUUAUUAUCUAUCUGUCCUGGUGUGUCACUGCUCAAUUUGAUGUUUGCUGCUGAACUAUAAUGGAUUAGCACUACCCUUCAGCUAAAUAUGAAUGCAAGAAAAUGUAGCAUUGAGGUUUUUAACGUUGGAGAGCGCAGCGCGUUUGCUGAACCUGAAUCUGCUUCUUUGAAGGGAGAGUUUGGGGAUGUAGACAGAUGGCAACACUUUCCUGCUGUAAGGAACCAUGGCAGACUGCAGAGCACUGCUGCUCUCUGCUUGACAAGACUGAGCAGGCAUACUCUAUACUGUAUGUGUGUGUGCGGGGGUGUGUGAGGAGCUCUGAGUGAAUGUAGGUGAAAGGGCUUUGCUGUCAAAGCCAGGCAAUGCAGAGCCCAGCAGAGCAGAGUGGAGCGGUGGAGAGGCGGAUCGAUGUGGGAGGAAGGAGGAGUGUCGCGUCUUCAUGGCCUUGCAGGGAAGUUGGGAGAGAAGAGGAGCGGCUGGGGUCAGCUCAGACUCAAACCGACUGGCCAUCCCACCUGAGUCUGUCCAAACAGGAAAUGUGUGUAUUUUAGUGGGGCUAUAUUGUUCAGUUAUUAUUAUGAGUGGAUGUCUUCAAUAGAUGUAAAUACUAAGGACUAAUGAUGCAAGGAAAUCUGGUCAACUACUUGCUUCCACUUUAUUGCUAUGGAAAUCUUAGGUUUUAUGGAGUCAACUAUCAUCACACGUACAGACUAUUGUUCUUUCUGAUUAUGCAUCUUGUGGUUUAAGUAGAAUUCUUUUCCACAUGUUCUGGACCAGCCAUGUGUGCAAGAAGAAAAAUUAUCAGUAGUUUGUUUUCUCCUUGCUUCAGGCUGUAGUUAUCCUCACACAAACGCAUCAUAGAAAGAGAGUAGAAGCUGAUUGCUGAGCCAUCAGCUUAUGGCUCAGCAAGGCCUAGUUCAAGUACAGAGGUCUUCUUCAAAACUGCAACAGAGAGGUGGAGAGUUAUGGAGGAACUAAAUAACUAGGCUUUAGAAAUGUCACUAUGAAAGCUGUCCUUCCAUAGUGCCGUCCUGCUGUUGGAGCUUUUUAUAAACUGUAGAGCACUUAUUACUUUAGACCAACAUUUAGUUUUAUACUUUUAAUAUCAGAGCAAGACCUAAGGAAACUCCUAAUUUACAAAUGUAGAAUAAACUUAUAAAGUAUAAUCUACUUAACAACCCUGAACAAGAAUCAAGCAUGGAGAACCAAUAUUUAGUUUUAUAUUGUACAAAUCUAGAACUCAACCCAGAACAAUGGAACCAACACUUGGUUUUGUAUUUACUAACAGAAUCAAACAUGGAGAACCAACAUUUUGUUUUAUCAGAACAAGAAUCCAGAUAAACCCCUACUAGCUUAUGAAUUAUGGACUACUAUGUUUUAUUCUUAUUAAACAUGGGGAACCAAUAUGUAGUUUUAUACUUUUACCUUUUUUGUCUUUCUUUUGGUUUUGUUGUUUUGUUUCUAUUUCCUUCCAAUUCAUGUAAAGCACGGUGGAUUCCCUUGUUGCAGAAAAUGUGCUACAUAAAUAACAUAACCUUACCUAUGGGCCUCCCCAAAGUUAUUUAUGCCUCCUUCAGAUACAAACAUCAGAUAGUGGAAGCAGACUAGUUGAAGGAUUAUAUCAAUAUUGCUGUCUGAAGGCAUUUCUGCACAGAAUACGGCAACAGACAUCUGACCAAUCACACAGCGGAGCUCCAGCAGGUCCUGGUGUGGAGAAGGGGAGGCAGUUUUCAUCUGCAUCAUUACACAUAAUGUUCAUUUUUCUUUUUAAAUCGUCCUGAUUUAUUAUCAAUCUUUACAUAAUCAGAACUACUGCUUUCUCUCCUUAUUUAUAUGUACAAAAACCUUAUAAGCCUCCACAUAUUUCAGUUUGUUGUUCCUUUCUCUUUACCCACGUCUUAUCUUCUGCAUCCACAUGCAGAUGAUGCACUGGUGCAUAUUUCUGUUUCCACUGGAGAUCUCAGGUCCGUUUGCAACAUGUAUUUGUGGUAGCAACUGACGGAUCCUAGGUCCUGUUUCAGCAACAGAACAGACACAAAACCGAAACACUUGUGGUUAACACAAAACAUUUGAGGCUGAACAUGUGUUCCAACUUGACACUGGUUCCUCCGAAGACAUUCGGGGCAUGUUGGCAAUCAAGGAAACAGCUUGACUAACCUCCGUUUUGAAAAAUUACUUUUAAAGAAUCAUGAUGGGUCUCCUGGCAUGCAGGGAUGUUAAAUGUGCAAACGCUCUGUGUUUGUGGUGCUCGGCUUCAAGAAGGAUACACACACUACAGUCAGACAAAAUGACACAAUGUACCUUGUUCUUCUGGGCUUGUGUAAAGUAAACGCUGUCAGAGAAAACAAAAAAGAUCAAAUCAACAUAAUUCAUCUGCAUCACAGCUGCAGAAAGACAGACUUCCUUAAGUAACCCAAAUACUUUCCUAAGACAGCUUUAGAAAAGUCUUUGGUUAUAUAACACAAAGCUGUUUGGGCAGCAGGAGAUGUUCACUGUUCACCAGGGAGAGAUCUCCUUCCUGUGCUUAACAAGACUGAGCUAUAAAAAGACAAAGAUUCAGCCUGUCGGUGUGUAUGUUUGUGUGGGAACCUACAUGAGCUGCCUGCAGGCACAAACCGGGAAGGACAAUCAACAUUUCCAGGCAACCGAGAGCUGGUAGGGCGAAGGUGUGAGCGAGGUGCAGCCAAGAGACGGCAGAAAAAUGAAUCAGGGUACAUGUGAGCGCUUCGCUAGGUGAGAUAAUGAAGUGCUGCGAGAGGGGUGGGGGCGGGGGCGCAGAGGAGUAAGGUUGAGGUCACUUCAGGCCAAACUGUCCUCAAGGGACCAACAGAUUACACCAGAGCAGCUAAACAAAGCCGGCAAACAGGAAGAUCAAAGGAUCACAAAAUCCUUCUUUCCAAGUAAACAUUUUCCCACAAACACUGCAGAGCUGGAACACUGCAGACAUUAGAGUAAGGGUGUGUGCUCAUCAUUUCCUUAAACAUACAACAAUAUGCAGCAGGUGCUGUAUUUUAGUAAUCUACUUUAACCAAACUCUAGUUUGUUUGGAGAAGUGUGGUCUUGGGUCGUUGAAAGGAACUUUAGGGCAGUUCAAAUUCAGAUGUGAACGCCAAACAGACUGGAGACCAUUCCAAAGGCAGGAGGUGGAUUACAACGCAGGGCAUUCUGGGUAGAUACAACCCAAACUAACAUGUGAAUCUAACGCUAGUGGGAGAAAUGACCCGUGACCUUUUACCAGAGACACAUCAAUGUGAUCUGGUGACACGUUGUGUUCAGUUACCUGCUUUCCAACAAACUCACAGAAACUUUCGACCUUCGACUGGAAUUGUGCUGGUAGUUUUGGACCCAGCGACGAUCGUGCUGCGACGCUCCGAUGGAGGGGCGGUUAUGCUGCUUGUGUUGCAUGAAGUGGUAAACUGCCUGCACAGUUUUUUUUAUAUUAAUCUCCCAGGCAACUACAAGGAUAUGAAUUAACAUUUAAUGCAUUAAUCAUGAAGAGGAAAACAAGACUGAAGUCACACCUGACUGCAAGAUGCAGGAAUAGAAAAACUAUGAAAAAAAGAAAAGUGUGACUUAUCGUCUGGAAAACAGUUUAUAAUUUUUAGAUAAUGUGACGAUAAGUCACAUCAUGCACGUUUACUCAAGAGUUGAUCCAGCUGAAUGUGUCAUGGUUUUGUCAAGAUGUCUGACCCACAUGCACAAAUGCUUUGAGAACAAUACGAUUUUAAAGGUUCGUUGAAAAGACAGUGAUUCAUGUCAGAUUCUUGAUCCAGGAUGAUGGAGAGAUGGACCGCGGGUUCACUGGAGAUAAUAAUCAUUCUUGGAGUAGAGAUCUUACGAUGAGGCUGAAGUUGCCGGGGAGUAAAGGAGGAGAACAGAAUCCAGGGUGAUUGCUCUGAGUCUUGGUUAGAGAAAGAAGAUGUUGAUGUUUCUUGGGACUAGGUUGGUGCUGGAACUUUGGAAGAUAAAACAGUUGCACAAGGAUGGUUGUUACCAAGACGUUCAGGCUGCUAGUCAUGGAGAUGAGGAUCCAGGAUUAUGAUGACUAAAGGAUUUUCGUAACCAGGGGUUUGUUCAGAGAAUCACAAUUGGAGUCAGAUGAGAGAAACUCAGGAGCUCAGGGAAAUCCAGUAAGGUUCCUAAAAGAACACAAGUUUUAAGUAAGGGGCAUAAGAAGAUCUGCAAAAGACACUAGGGGUAGUGAUGUAUGUUCUUUGUCAAGGCUUCAGAGCGCUUGUUGAGUGACCUAGGAGGAUUUUCAAGGCUUGUGUUGAUGGAGGUUGUGACGUUUGAAGCCUUGGAAGUGGACCGUACAAGGUGAAUGAUUCAGGAACUGGUUCGUCAGUUUGCUUGCGGAUCGAUUUAAAUGGCACCAAAACGCUGCUGUUUCACCGUCACAUUUUCUUGUUUUAUGAUUUUAUUGUGUGCAUGAGAAACAACUGAAAAAUAGUGCUGAAUGCUAUUAUUUUUAUGAGAAUAACAAUUUAAAUGAUGUUCUGAGUCUCAUUUGUAAGAACCUUCUUGCCAUCUUGUUUGACUCUUGUUGCCUAACUCCAAUCUUUGAGUUAGGUUGGAGUUAGAAACAUCAACUUUGAGGCAGUUAGUGUUUCUAACUCAGGUUCUGUUGGACAGAAGGGUUUUUUUUAUCUGUCACAAACUCUUUGUUGUAAGUAACAGAAAAUGACGAUUAUUGUGACUUAGCAAAAGUUCAUUACUAAGGUUUUUGAAGAGAGUGGAAAACAUCUCUGCAAAAUAGGGAGGCUCUCCAUCUUCAAUGGCUGGAUGGGAAUGGUAGGUAUUUGAAAUAUAGCUGAUCUUGAAUAGCAUUUUCUCAGCAGCUUGUGUGUGACAGAUGGAGCACUAGUGGUGUGUGGAGUUCGGGGGUUGGGUUGAUACAGUGUGCCAAAGUGGUCAGAGAAAGUGAUUCCCCUAAGUGCAUGUCCCAAUAAAACACAGGGCGUAUCUGAGACUCGACUGGAUUAGACUGUUAAAUAAAAGCAUGGGGCAAUGAGGAGAGAUGGACAGCUGGGUGGGGCAGGAGAGCUGAAGCCAACAAGACUCUGAAAACAUGCAGAGUAAUACUGAAAAGAAGGAGACAAAGGGAGUACGAAUGAAAGACACAUACAGGCUAAAGGUCUCAGAUGAUUGACUACUGCUUAAUUCCGUUGCUGCAUUUGAUGUGGUUAAAUUCAAACUCAAAAAUACUGUAUUUAUCCCAAAGGGAAAUUAAAUGUUGCUGUAACAUACAGAUAUACAUACAGAUGUACUACAAGACUGCUGAAGCUGAAAAUGAAUACGGCUUGCACACCAGUGUGAAAAAAGAAAUAUUAGGAUGUUGCAUAAAACAACAAGCAAUGUACAAGUGAAAAAGAAAUGCCUCCAUAAAUGAUCAACUGUCCUAUUUUUUUCCCUCUUUCUUUCUCUUUGCUUUGGUGGUGGGAGAACCAAGUUGGACCAGAAUUCAGGUCGGACCAGAAGGAAAGUCCGUACUUACUGACACCAGAAAAAUGUUGUCCUUUAAUCUAAUUUUCUUCAGACUGAGACAUUCUUCUUUAAAAUGCUGUCAAAGACUCAUAUUUUCUGAAACAAAAAAAAAAAAAAAGAAUUCAAAAUAGUUAAAAGCACAAACUGUUGUAAAUGUAAAAAAAGUUUGAGUAAAAGUGCAAAACUGCAGCUAACAAAGCUUUGUGCUUUGGGAAAAGUGUUUCUCCUUCGGCCUUCAGGCAGCCUGCUGCUGUUCAGCGCUGACCUGCAGCAGCGGCUUUGUUACUCAGAACGUUUUUUAUUUGGUCUCCAAGGAAACUCUUUCGUCUGUAAUUGAUUUGAUCUAUUUGCUGAAAUUGCUGCUGCUGUAGAAAUAAUAGAUGAUGUUAUGUGUGCCAUAAAUAUGAAUAAAACAAACCGUCUUUUUGUGGAGCUGGUAUUUGGAUGUUGGAGAUUUCAUAAAAAGAAAGAACUACAGUAACAUGUUAGAAGUAUUUUGGAUCCAUGCAUUGGAGAAACUACCAACUCCUUUGUUGUAUUAUUGUGUGCGUGUUUAAAGAUGAGAGCUCAUUUUGACCUUUUGUCUCCUCAGACUCUUACAUGUUUCAGUUGUUUUUAUUUGCAAACCUUUCUGGAUACAAAAAGAUGCAAUCAUCAAGCAUUCUGUACCAUAAAGUAAUUUUUCAUAUAA